RNAcentral lists this unclassified non-coding RNA (486 nucleotides) under Hevea brasiliensis (rubber tree). The record is from RNAcentral. Lineage: Eukaryota; Viridiplantae; Streptophyta; Magnoliopsida; Malpighiales; Euphorbiaceae.
UCCUCUAAAGAAGAAAAGCAGGAAAUUAUGGAUAGCUACAAGGCAAAACUGAGGUCUAUAGAUUGCAAGCAUUUUGACUUUGGCAAUGGGAACUGCCCAUUUGGGACAAGUUGUUUUUACAAGCAUGCAUACCGAGAUGGCUGUUUGGAGGAAGUCGCUCUGCGUCAUCUUGGGGCUGAAGAUGGAAAUACUGUGAUCGCAAAAAAUAUAAGGCUAUCAGAUUUCCUUGGUAGCCUACAAAUAAGUUGAAUCAGGCUGUUCAAUCAUUCCCAUGUUUGCUUGCUAGAGUUGACUUAAUUAUGGGAAGCUGGAAGGUGUGUAAUAAACUGCAUAUUAUGUUAAGAUGAAAUAAUAGUGUGAAGAAAACGUCAACCGCGAUGCAAAAAAUUACAUUUAGCGAUAAGUUAUGAACUUGCCGAUGAAUAUCAAUUUGAAGAAUGGAUGAUGUUUGCCAAUAAGCUUGCUUCCCUCACAGCAGAAAUGGCA